RNAcentral lists this ribosomal RNA (253 nucleotides) under uncultured bacterium. RNAcentral describes it as "partial 16S ribosomal RNA". It matches the Rfam family "Bacterial small subunit ribosomal RNA", at positions 524 to 776 of the family's 1533-position model. The record is from RNAcentral.
UACGGAGGGGGCUAGCGUUGUUCGGAAUUACUGGGCGUAAAGCGCACGUAGGCGGAUUGGAAAGUCAGAGGUGAAAUCCCCGGGCUCAACCUUGGAACUGCCUUUGAAACUCCCAGUCUUGAGUUCGAGAGAGGUGAGUGGAAUUCCGAGUGUAGAGGUGAAAUUCGUAGAUAUUCGGAGGAACACCAGUGGCGAAGGCGGCGUCCUGGCCUGCGACUGACGCUGUGGCGCGAAAGCUAGGGGAGCGAACGGG